CACAUGCAGUCGAGCGGAUGAGAAGAGCUUGCUCUUCGAAUUCAGCGGCGGACGGGUGAGUAAUGCCUAGGAAUCUGCCUAUUAGUGGGGGACAACGUUUCGAAAGGAACGCUAAUACCGCAUACGUCCUACGGGAGAAAGCAGGGGACCUUCGGGCCUUGCGCUAAUAGAUGAGCCUAGGUCGGAUUAGCUAGUUGGUGAGGUAAUGGCUCACCAAGGCUACGAUCCGUAACUGGUCUGAGAGGAUGAUCAGUCACACUGGAACUGAGACACGGUCCAGACUCCUACGGGAGGCAGCAGUGGGGAAUAUUGGACAAUGGGCGAAAGCCUAUCCAGCCAUGCCGCGUGUGUAAAGAAGGUCUUCGGAUUGUAAAGCACUUUAAGUUGGGAGGAAGGGCAGUGACCUAAUACGUUAUUGUUUUUGACGUUACCGACAGAAUAAGCACCGGCUACUCUGUNCCAACGCGCGGGUAUACAGAGGGUGCAAGCUUAAUCGGGAUUUACUGGGCGUAAAGCG
Molecule: ribosomal RNA, 517 nt
Filed under: bacterium het-d-33
Lineage: Bacteria
Description: bacterial SSU rRNA
Rfam family: Bacterial small subunit ribosomal RNA
Source: RNAcentral